Molecule: ribosomal RNA, 503 nt
Filed under: uncultured bacterium
Lineage: Bacteria
Description: bacterial SSU rRNA
Rfam family: Bacterial small subunit ribosomal RNA
Source: RNAcentral
GACGAACGCUGGCGGCGUGCCUAAUACAUGCAAGUCGAACGCACUCUCGUUUAGAUUGAAGGAGCUUGCUCCUGAUUGAUAAACAUUUGAGUGAGUGGCGGACGGGUGAGUAACACGUGGGUAACCUGCCCUAAAGUGGGGGAUAACAUUUGGAAACAGAUGCUAAUACCGCAUGAAACCUAACACCGCAUGGUGUAGGGUUGAAAGAUGGUUUCGGCUAUCACUUUAGGAUGGACCCGCGGUGCAUUAGUUAGUUGAUGAGGUAAAGGCUCACCAAGACCGUGAUGCAUAGCCGACCUGAGAGGGUAAUCGGCCACACUGGGACUGAGACACGGCCCAGACUCCUACGGGAGGCAGCAGUAGGGAAUCUUCCACAAUGGACGAAAGUCUGAUGGAGCAACGCCGCGUGAGUGAAGAAGGUUUUCGGAUCGUAAAACUCUGUUGUUGGAGAAGAAUGUAUCUGAUAGUAACUGAUCAGGUAGUGACGGUAUCCAACCAGAAAG